This is a long non-coding RNA of Camelus dromedarius (Arabian camel), 456 nucleotides long. RefSeq lists it as uncharacterized. The transcript is spliced from 3 exons. NCBI's taxonomy places the organism in Eukaryota, Metazoa, Chordata, Mammalia, Artiodactyla, Camelidae. The record is from RefSeq and is a predicted model, not a curated record.
GCCCAAGCCUGCUCUCCACAGGAUGGCGUUCAGCGGAGCCCUUCACCCAAAAGGUGACGGCUGUUCAGUCUCUUUGCCUGGAAGGAAGCGGGAACGCCGGUUGCUUCUGUUGCUGCUGGCGUCUUCUUUCAGUAGUGCGGGACCUCAGCCUGAAGACGGAACCUACCUACCGAGGACGGCAAAGCGAGAGAAUUGUAGAGAGGUGGUGCUGGAGCCCUGAUUGUACUUCGCUCGGCGUCCUCACGACCUCUGCAUUUCCUGCUGCACCAGAUGAGAAGUUGCAGCACAAAGAGGUUCAGUAUCUUUCUUGAGGACAUACUGCAGACCAGGCACAGAGCUCAGUAAGUAAAAGGCAUUCUGCACAGAAAGUGGUCAGCGCGAAAUGUCAUAAAUAUAGGGUAUUUCUAGUCACUUGCUAUCCCAUCAGAAGUUACUUUAUAUUUUCCUUCACCUUCG